UACGAAGGGGGCUAGCGUUGCUCGGAAUCACUGGGCGUAAAGCGCACGUAGGCGGGUCGCUAAGUCAGGGGUGAAAUCCUGGAGCUUAACUCCAGAACUGCCUUUGAUACUGGCGACCUUGAGUCCGGGAGAGGUGAGUGGAACUGCGAGUGUAGAGGUGAAAUUCGUAGAUAUUCGCAAGAACACCAGUGGCGAAGGCGGCUCACUGGCCCGGUACUGACGCUGAGGUGCGAAAGCGUGGGGAGCAAACAGG
RNAcentral lists this ribosomal RNA (253 nucleotides) under uncultured bacterium. RNAcentral describes it as "partial 16S ribosomal RNA". It matches the Rfam family "Bacterial small subunit ribosomal RNA", at positions 524 to 776 of the family's 1533-position model. The record is from RNAcentral.